AUACGUAGGGUGCGAGCGUUGUCCGGAAUUACUGGGCGUAAAGAGCUCGUAGGUGGUUUGUCACGUCGUCUAUGAAAUUCCGGGGCUUAACUCCGGGCGUGCAGGCGAUACGGGCAUAACUUGAGUACUGUAGGGGAGACUGGAAUUCCUGGUGUAGCGGCGAAAUGCGCAGAUAUCAGGAGGAACACCGGUGGCGAAGGCGGGUCUCUGGGCAGUAACUGACGCUGAGGAGCGAAAGCAUGGGUAGCGAACAGGAUUAGAUACCCUGGUAGUCCAUGCCGUAAACGGUGGGCGCUAGGUGUAGGGGUCUUCCACGACUUCUGUGCCGUAGCUAACGCAUUAAGCGCCCCGCCUGGGGAGUACGGCCGCAAGGCUAAAACUCAAAGGAAUUGACGGGG
This 398-nucleotide ribosomal RNA is filed under the name uncultured bacterium. RNAcentral's name for it is "partial 16S ribosomal RNA". It matches the Rfam family "Bacterial small subunit ribosomal RNA", at positions 523 to 918 of the family's 1533-position model. The record is from RNAcentral.